UGCACUUCCUGGUGUAGUCCUGGCCCAAUCUCAUUCUUUCCCCAUGGACCAGCUUGAAUGAAUUGAGUGCGGGAGGACAGAACCACAAGAUGGAAAGAGCCUGGGUCCCUGAAUAAAUUUAUGGAACAAACACCCCCUUUAUCUGCACUGAACUAAGUGGAUGAUGCACUACCUGAGGGAGGGAAUGCAGGAAGAAGAGCUGAUAUCAGAAGAAAAAAAAUUAUCUUGAGGCUGAGGGCCUCCUGUUACGUCCCAGCAGUUAGAGGAGCAGUAAGGACAGGAUUAUGGUGAGGAAGCUCACGCGGCAGCAUAAAGCUCUGGUAUAAUCUUUCUCUCCAUCUGGCAAGUGGGAAUGGACCAGUUAUAUUUCAAGUUUGCUAACAAAGACUGCUUAAGGUAAAUAUUUGUUGCUUUCCAAAGCAAA
This is a long non-coding RNA of Symphalangus syndactylus (siamang), 424 nucleotides long. RefSeq lists it as uncharacterized. The record is from RefSeq and is a predicted model, not a curated record. Lineage: Eukaryota; Metazoa; Chordata; Mammalia; Primates; Hylobatidae.